ACGUUGGUCCCGCGCGAUGCGGCCCGUGAACCCCGUCAGGUCCGGAAGGAAGCAGCGGUAAGCGGCAAACCGCAGGCGCCGCGGAUAAGCCUGCGGACG
This 99-nucleotide signal recognition particle RNA is filed under the name Clostridia bacterium. RNAcentral describes it as "signal recognition particle sRNA small type". It matches the Rfam family "Bacterial small signal recognition particle RNA". From Rfam's summary of the family: The signal recognition particle (SRP) is a universally conserved ribonucleoprotein involved in the co-translational targeting of proteins to membranes. Archaeal SRP consists of a 7S RNA and homologues of the eukaryotic SRP19 and SRP54 proteins. The record is from RNAcentral. Lineage: Bacteria; Bacillati; Bacillota; Clostridia.